Molecule: non-coding RNA, 28 nt
Filed under: Rattus norvegicus (Norway rat)
Lineage: Eukaryota; Metazoa; Chordata; Mammalia; Rodentia; Muridae
Source: RNAcentral
UGAAACCAAUUUGCAACAAGAGUAAUGC